UAACCCUAAAACCGUCUCUCACAGUAACCCUAACUCUCUUUCUGUUAUCUCCGCCUCCUUUCUUUUUUUUUUUCUUUCUUCCUUCGUUCCUUCAAGUGAGUUUUGUAAAGAGAUUUUUUCUCACAGUAACAAUUCUCGGUCCAGCACAGCAGCGGAUAGCACGGUCUUGGCUUCAUUCAUCACGCAUCCAGCAGGGAUUUUGGCUUGAAGAAAAGAGAAGAGAAUGGUUAUUGAAUGAAAGGGGCCCACGGACAAAUUAAUUUGGACAGCAGCAAGCUUCACACGGACAGCAGCGUCCAGGAGGUGCGGGGAGAAAAAUCACAUUCAUUUGGUCUCAUCCAGCAAGCUAGGAGGUGGACGAAGAAACACGUGAAGGAGGAUUUUACUUUCUCUUUGGAAGAUGCACACGGGCAUUGAAUAAGAAGCAGCGUCCAGCUGGUUUUGGAAAAAAAGCAGGCCUUAACUAGAAGAGGAAACACAGUCCAGCAGCUGGAGGAAGGGGUGCCUGGAGUAGCUGAUUCAACGUCCAGCAUCUUGGAAUUGAGGAGGUGCUGGGAGAGAAAUGGGCAGAGGGCCUGGUCCAACAUCCAGCCUACACACAGCCACAGAGAUGGAGGGUUACGGAGAGGAUUAAAAACAUUUUUUUUUGGGGGCGAAGCCAGGGGUCCAGCCGCCACCUAUGGGGGAUGGUUUUUGGCUUCACGGGAGAGGUGCUGUCACGGCUGCACUUUAGAAAGCAAUGUAGUCAAGGAAAGGAGCUGUUGCGGUUUAGAGAGAGAAGCGCUGCAGCAAGGGGAUUUCUUUUGGAGGCGCUGACACACUUUGAAGAGGAGGACUUUCAUUGUUCACCAUAGGAGUUUGAUAGAUCAAGCAAACUGAGAAACCAGUUCAGUUAAAGCUGUGUUCUGACUUGGGUUAUAAUGUCACCAGGUUUCUCACAUGGAUAUAGCUUCAAGGAAACAAACAAAUAGGGAUUUCUCUCCCUAUCUCAUUCUAAUAUCAUUUUUCUAAUUUAUUAUUUUAGAAAACAUUAUGAAAUUGUAAAAAAUAAAUAAAAAAUAUAUUUCUGUUCAUAAUGUUUAUUUUUUUGUUAGUUACUGUAAGAAUGAAUAAUUGUUUUAAUUAUUUUUAGUUACUGUAAGAAUGAAUAAUUCUAGUGAAAAACAAUAGGAUUUGGGCUUGCUAUGUAGGAAUAAAACAGAAAAAGUUUUAAAGAUUUCUCAGAACAAAUAUCUUCUGUUUGGUGGAGAAAAAAAAUUACUAUAUAUGUAAUUAAUUUGUUUUAUUAUAUAUAUAAAUUGUAAGAAAUACUUAAGAAUAAAAUAAAAUAAAAAUGUUUUUGUUUUCCUACUGUUGUUGGAGGGUUAUAAUGUCACAAGGUUUCUCACAUAUGCACAUAGCUUCAAGGUUAGUAUAUUGCCAUAUCUAAUCUAGAGUUUAUUUAUGACAUAAUAUUACUUGCAAGAUGUUCAAUGUAGUGUAUUAUAGUUCAAUGUAGUGCACAAAUUUGGUAAUAGUUCUUUAUGUGUUUUAAGAUAAAUCAAAAGUAACAUUAUCUCAAUUUAUUUUAAUAUUUUCUAUAUUUUAGUUAAUACAUUCAUUGGAAAGUAAUGUAUUGUAAAUAUUAAUGAAAUAUUAGUUUUGUUGAAUUUUUUGUAAUAUUCUUUUAAUAAUAUAAUUUACUUUUAGAAAUAUGACUUUUUAUUUAUAAAAGUUGUUUAUAAUAAGAUCUUCUUAAUUAUUGUCCUAUAUCUAGAACAGUAUGUUAAUUGUUAAACAGUACUUUCAUGUUUUUACCAUUAGAUUGUUUUAUUCUGGCACUAAAAGGUAGGUAUACUUUUUUAAUAUGAAAUGUUUUCAUCGUAGAAUGAAAAUGCAUGAUUUUAUUGUUAUUCCCUUGUGCAUUAUAUAUUAAGUAAUUAAAUAAUGAG
Molecule: long non-coding RNA, 1931 nt
Organism: Vigna angularis (adzuki bean)
Lineage: Eukaryota; Viridiplantae; Streptophyta; Magnoliopsida; Fabales; Fabaceae
Exons: 4
Source: RefSeq, a predicted model, not a curated record